AGAGCAUUCACUUAGGGUGAGUAAGAAAUAAGUUGGGGAGAAUCGGUAAGUACCACAACUCUUGGAAAAAAAAUGAAAAACCGAGCAAGCAUUGAAAAUAAAAAUAUAGAAAAGAAACAUCUGUUUUGUAAAUAUGAUGUGAAAGAAAAGAACAAAAAUAGAAAGAAUGAAAAUGAAUGCUUGCUUGGAAGAAAAAUAGUGAAAAAUAAAAAUUGAGUUGUGAAAUAAGAGUUGUGAAGGUUUCAAAUAAGAAACAAAUGGAACGAAGUCGAGAUGUGUGAAUAUGUGUACAGUGAAUGUCUCUUUUGCAUCGGCAAUUUCG
This 322-nucleotide long non-coding RNA is filed under the name Lathyrus oleraceus (garden pea). Its description in RNAcentral is "Pisum sativum (pea) long non-coding RNA (PSAT_LNC009205)". Lineage: Eukaryota; Viridiplantae; Streptophyta; Magnoliopsida; Fabales; Fabaceae. The record is from RNAcentral.